Molecule: ribosomal RNA, 251 nt
Filed under: uncultured prokaryote
Description: partial 16S ribosomal RNA
Rfam family: Bacterial small subunit ribosomal RNA
Source: RNAcentral
ACAGAGGUGGCGAGCGUUACUCGGAUUUAUUGGGUGUAAAGGGCAAGUAGGCGUCUUAACAAGUUGGAGGUGAAAUCCUGCAGCUCAACUGCAGAACUGCUCCCAAAACUGUUAGGAUUGAGACUGGAAGAGGAAAGCGGAAUUCUCGGUGUAAGAGUGAAAUCUGUAGAUAUCGAGAGGAACACCAGUGGCGAAGGCGGCUUUCUGGUCCAGUACUGACGCUGAAUUGCGAAAGCUAGGGGAGCAAACAG